GGCCGCGGGAAUUCGAUUCAGGCCUAACACAUGCAAGUCGAGCGGGGUUUUCGGACCUAGCGGCGGACGGGUGAGUAAUGCGUAGGAAGCUGCCCGAUAGAGGGGGAUACCAGUUGGAAACGACUGUUAAUACCGCAUAAUGUCUACGGACCAAAGUGUGGGACCUUCGGGCCACAUGCUAUCGGAUGCGCCUACGUGGGAUUAGCUAGUUGGUGAGGUAAUGGCUCACCAAGGCGACGAUCUCUAGCUGGUUUGAGAGGAUGAUCAGCCACACUGGAACUGAGACACGGUCCAGACUCCUACGGGAGGCAGCAGUGGGGAAUAUUGGACAAUGGGCGCAAGCCUGAUCCAGCCAUGCCGCGUGUGUGAAGAAGGCCUUCGGGUUGUAAAGCACUUUCAGCGAGGAGGAAGGGUGGUGUGUUAAUAGCACAUCAUCUUGACGUACUCGCAGAAGAAGC
This 458-nucleotide ribosomal RNA is filed under the name uncultured bacterium. RNAcentral's name for it is "bacterial SSU rRNA". It matches the Rfam family "Bacterial small subunit ribosomal RNA", at positions 39 to 491 of the family's 1533-position model. The record is from RNAcentral.